Long non-coding RNA from Monodelphis domestica (gray short-tailed opossum), 821 nucleotides. RefSeq lists it as uncharacterized. NCBI's taxonomy places the organism in Eukaryota, Metazoa, Chordata, Mammalia, Didelphimorphia, Didelphidae. The record is from RefSeq and is a predicted model, not a curated record.
UAAGUUUCAGGGAAAGUGCCAACUAACACUGAUGGAGGAACUUUCCUCACCUGGAAUCCCCUCUACCAGUGAAAUCAUUGGUUCAGUCCAUAGUCCUAGCUCUCUAAGUAGACAGUGAACCAGAAGUAGCAUUAUAAGCAAAGGAAAAGCUUCAGCUUCUUCAGUCUAAAAGGCUCCAAGCCAGCUUGCUUUCUUUCCUCAGUGCUCUCCCCAUUUCAAAAAUAUAACCUCUAGGGGGGGAGUGGGUACACUUAAGUAGCCUAGCUGAAGGGCAUCAACUGCUCAUGUGCAGUCAUCAUCAUGAUGCUGCCAUAGCAACCCAGCACCAUCAGUGGUAGAACUCACUCAUGAGCUUCCCCUGGUGGAUAGAUAAGAAACAAAUCAUCCCAACCUGAAAGAAAAGAGGAUUUAAAGAAACCAGUGGAGGUAUAUCAUGAACUCACUUUCAAGGUUGUGAGCAUUCAUUUCCGGAUCUCAAAGAACCAGCCAUGGAUAGCUCCAGGAUGAGGCCAGAAGCUCUCCCAAGCACAGAGGCUCCUGGAGCAAAGGCCUGUAUGCAUGCCCAAGGAAGGCCUUCUCAAAACUCAGGACCAGAGAAGGGUUCUGAUUCUGUUUUCAAUAGUCUACAUGCAGCAAUCAGGAAAAGAAAAAGAACGCUCCCAACAGAUCAAAGUCAGAACAUCUUAAAAUGGAAAUGAACAUUUAAAAGAGGCCUUUCUCAAGGGAAGCCUUGGCAGUAAAUCAGAGCUUUUGAGAGGCAACUGGGGCCUGUGCUGAUUUUUGAAUAACUCAUCGUUUAAUAAAUGUUCUUUUUUUGUGGC